GUUCUUUACCACUGAACCACCUGGGAAGCCCAAUGUUAAUACAAAUGAGUAAAAUCCUGUCAAACCCAGGAAUACUACAGUAGCAUCUCAAGGGACAUGGACUGAAGCAAGGAACAGAGGAGAUCACAACUCCCAGCAACUGCAACGUUUCUCCCAGCGGUGUUUCGGCUACAUGUGUGGCCAAGCUGCCUUCAGAAGGCGGCGAGACAAAGGACUUACCUUGGAUUUCUUUCAAUCUGAACAAGAGAGCUAUUUGCACAGCGUGCCCUGCCUCUGUCCUUCUGUCUGCUGCUCAGAUCAUAUCAUCACCCAGAUGGACUUGCAGACCCUAGCCUGGGGUGGCUGGGUUCUCCCUGGCGUGGGAUUUCUGUCACUUACUCUGUGAGGGCCACCUGUGCCUUGUUCAAGAACAGCCCAAAAGAAGGCCAAGCGGCCACUUACUGUGGUGAGAGCAAGGCAAUGCUAGUGGUAAAUAGGCCGGGGCACUUUCAACAGUUCAAAGGCCAAAUUACAGCGGCCAGAAGACAAGACCGGAUGGCUCACAAGCCGGGAAUGGUCAAGGGCCAUUUCCUUCUGUGCACGUAGAUGUUUGCUCCUUGGGCUUCGAGGAUUCCUUCCCUGGGUCAAAGCCUGGAUCAGCGAGCCUCGUCCCGCAGUGGGAGGCUGGGCCUCCCGGUGAGUUGCCCACAGGCUGCUCCAGCUCACCCA
Long non-coding RNA from Cervus elaphus (red deer), 708 nucleotides. RefSeq lists it as uncharacterized. The record is from RefSeq and is a predicted model, not a curated record. The transcript is spliced from 3 exons. NCBI's taxonomy places the organism in Eukaryota, Metazoa, Chordata, Mammalia, Artiodactyla, Cervidae.